RNAcentral lists this ribosomal RNA (2901 nucleotides) under Escherichia coli. RNAcentral's name for it is "23S ribosomal RNA". It matches the Rfam family "Bacterial large subunit ribosomal RNA". The record is from RNAcentral. Lineage: Bacteria; Pseudomonadati; Pseudomonadota; Gammaproteobacteria; Enterobacterales; Enterobacteriaceae.
GGUUAAGCGACUAAGCGUACACGGUGGAUGCCCCGGCAGUCAGAGGCGAUGAAGGACGUGUUAAUCUGCGAUAAGCGUCGGUAAGGUGAUAUGAACCGUUAUAACCGGCGAUUUCCGAAUGGGGGAAACCCAGUGUGUUUCGACACACUAUCAUUAACUGAAUCCAUAGGUUAAUGAGGCGAACCGGGGGAACUGAAACAUCUAAGUACCCCGAGGAAAAGAAAUCAACCGAGAUUCCCCCAGUAGCGGCGAGCGAACGGGGAGCAGCCCAGAGCCUGAAUCAGUAUGUGUGUUAGUGGAAGCGUCUGGAAAGGCGCGCGAUACAGGGUGACAGCCCCGUACACAAAAAUGCACAUGCUGUGAGCUCGAUGAGUAGGGCGGGACACGUGGUAUCCUGUCUGAAUAUGGGGGACCAUCCUCCAAGGCUAAAUACUCCUGACUGACCGAUAGUGAACCAGUACCGUGAGGGAAAGGCGAAAAGAACCCCGGCGAGGGGAGUGAAAAAGAACCUGAAACCGUGUACGUACAAGCAGUGGGAGCACGCUUAGGCGUGUGACUGCGUACCUUUGUAUAAUGGGUCAGCGACUUAUAUUCUGUAGCAAGGUUAACCGAAUAGGGGAGCCGAAGGGAAACCGAGUCUUAACUGGGCGUUAAGUUGCAGGGUAUAGACCCGAAACCCGGUGAUCUAGCCAUGGGCAGGUUGAAGGUUGGGUAACACUAACUGGAGGACCGAACCGACUAAUGUUGAAAAAUUAGCGGAUGACUUGUGGCUGGGGGUGAAAGGCCAAUCAAACCGGGAGAUAGCUGGUUCUCCCCGAAAGCUAUUUAGGUAGCGCCUCGUGAAUUCAUCUCCGGGGGUAGAGCACUGUUUCGGCAAGGGGGUCAUCCCGACUUACCAACCCGAUGCAAACUGCGAAUACCGGAGAAUGUUAUCACGGGAGACACACGGCGGGUGCUAACGUCCGUCGUGAAGAGGGAAACAACCCAGACCGCCAGCUAAGGUCCCAAAGUCAUGGUUAAGUGGGAAACGAUGUGGGAAGGCCCAGACAGCCGGGAUGUUGGCUUAGAAGCAGCCAUCAUUUAAAGAAAGCGUAAUAGCUCACUGGUCGAGUCGGCCUGCGCGGAAGAUGUAACGGGGCUAAACCAUGCACCGAAGCUGCGGCAGCGACACUAUGUGUUGUUGGGUAGGGGAGCGUUCUGUAAGCCUGUGAAGGUGUACUGUGAGGUAUGCUGGAGGUAUCAGAAGUGCGAAUGCUGACAUAAGUAACGAUAAAGCGGGUGAAAAGCCCGCUCGCCGGAAGACCAAGGGUUCCUGUCCAACGUUAAUCGGGGCAGGGUGAGUCGACCCCUAAGGCGAGGCCGAAAGGCGUAGUCGAUGGGAAACAGGUUAAUAUUCCUGUACUUGGUGUUACUGCGAAGGGGGACGGAGAAGGCUAUGUUGGCCGGGCGACGGUUGUCCCGGUUUAAGCGUGUAGGCUGGUUUUCCGGGCAAAUCCGGAAAAUCAAGGCUGAGGCGUGAUGACGAGGCACUACGGUGCUGAAGCAACAAAUGCCCUGCUUCCGGGAAAAGCCUCUAAGCAUCAGGUAACAUCAAAUCGUACCCCAAACCGACACAGGUGGUCAGGUAGAGAAUACCAAGGCGCUUGAGAGAACUCGGGUGAAGGAACUAGGCAAAAUGGUGCCGUAACUUCGGGAGAAGGCACGCUGAUAUGUAGGUGAAGUCCCUCGCGGAUGGAGCUGAAAUCAGUCGAAGAUACCAGCUGGCUGCAACUGUUUAUUAAAAACACAGCACUGUGCAAACACGAAAGUGGACGUAUACGGUGUGACGCCUGCCCGGUGCCGGAAGGUUAAUUGAUGGGGUUAGCCGCAAGGCGAAGCUCUUGAUCGAAGCCCCGGUAAACGGCGGCCGUAACUAUAACGGUCCUAAGGUAGCGAAAUUCCUUGUCGGGUAAGUUCCGACCUGCACGAAUGGCGUAAUGAUGGCGGGCUGUCUCCACCCGAGACUCAGUGAAAUUGAACUCGCUGUGAAGAUGCAGUGUACCCGCGGCAAGACGGAAAGACCCCGUGAACCUUUACUAUAGCUUGACACUGAACAUUGAGCCUUGAUGUGUAGGAUAGGUGGGAGGCUUUGAAGUGUGGACGCCAGUCUGCAUGGAGCCGACCUUGAAAUACCACCCUUUAAUGUUUGAUGUUCUAACGUUGACCCGUAAUCCGGGUUGCGGACAGUGUCUGGUGGGUAGUUUGACUGGGGCGGUCUCCUCCUAAAGAGUAACGGAGGAGCACGAAGGUUGGCUAAUCUCGGUCGGACAUCAGGAGGUUAGUGCAAUGGCAUAAGCCAGCUUGACUGCGAGCGUGACGGCGCGAGCAGGUGCGAAAGCAGGUCAUAGUGAUCCGGUGGUUCUGAAUGGAAGGGCCAUCGCUCAACGGAUAAAAGGUACUCCGGGGAUAACAGGCUGAUACCGCCCAAGAGUUCAUAUCGACGGCGGUGUUUGGCACCUCGAUGUCGGCUCAUCACAUCCCGGGGCUGAAGUAGGUCCCAAGGGUAUGGCUGUUCGCCAUUUAAAGUGGUACGCGAGCUGGGUUUAGAACGUCGUGAGACAGUUCGGUCCCUAUCUGCCGUGGGCGCUGGAGAACUGAGGGGGCUGCUCCUAGUACGAGAGGACCGGAGUGGACGCAUCACUGGUGUUCGGGUUGUCAUGCCAAUGGCACUGCCCGGUAGCUAAAUGCGGAAGAGAUAAGUGCUGAAAGCAUCUAAGCACGAAACUUGCCCCGAGAUGAGUUCUCCCUGACUCCUUGAGAGUCCUGAAGGAACGUUGAAGACGACGACGUUGAUAGGCCGGGUGUGUAAGCGCAGCGAUGCGUUGAGCUAACCGGUACUAAUGAACCGUGAGGCUUAACCUU